This 468-nucleotide ribosomal RNA is filed under the name uncultured bacterium. RNAcentral's name for it is "partial 16S ribosomal RNA". The stretch from base 18 to 367 matches the Rfam family "Bacterial small subunit ribosomal RNA", at positions 45 to 393 of the family's 1533-position model. The record is from RNAcentral.
GACGAACGCUGGCGGCGUGCUUAACACAUGCAAGUCGAACGGAAAGGCCCUGCUUUUGUGGGGUGCUCGAGUGGCGAACGGGUGAGUAACACGUGAGUAACCUGCCCUUGACUUUGGGAUAACUUCAGGAAACUGGGGCUAAUACCGGAUAGGAGCUCCUGCUGCAUGGUGGGGGUUGGAAAGUUUCGGCGGUUGGGGAUGGACUCGCGGCUUAUCAGCUUGUUGGUGGGGUAGUGGCUUACCAAGGCUUUGACGGGUAGCCGGCCUGAGAGGGUGACCGGCAAGAGUGGGAGGGAGAGACGGGCCGGGGGACGGUGGGCGGGAGCAGGGGGGAAGAGUGCACAAUGGGGGGAGGUGGGAUGCAGCAGGGGAGGGGGAGGGGGGGAGGGGGGCGGGGUGGAAAAGGGUGGCGCCGGGGAAGAAGGGGGAGGGAGGGUAAUGGGGAGAGAAGCAACGGCUAGCUAGGGG